UACGUAGGCAGCGAGCGUUGUUCGGAAUUACUUGGCAUAAAGAGUGCGUAGGCGGUGCUCUAAGUCUGUCGUGAAAUCUCCCGGCUCAACUGGGAGGGUGCGGCGGAAACUGGAGUGCUAGAGUGUGGGAGAGGUAAGCGGAAUUCCUGGUGUAGCGGUGAAAUGCGUAGAUAUCAGGAGGAACACCUGCGGUGUAGACAGCUUACUGGACCACGACUGACGCUGAGACGCGAAAGCGUGGGGAGCAAACAGG
This 253-nucleotide ribosomal RNA is filed under the name uncultured bacterium. Its description in RNAcentral is "partial 16S ribosomal RNA". It matches the Rfam family "Bacterial small subunit ribosomal RNA", at positions 524 to 776 of the family's 1533-position model. The record is from RNAcentral.